CCUACCUAACUGGGUUAGGGCCCUGGCUCCAUCUCCUUUAGGAAAACCUUCUGUGGGGAGUGGGGCUUCGACCCUAACCCAGGUGGG
Molecule: microRNA precursor, 87 nt
Filed under: Callithrix jacchus (white-tufted-ear marmoset)
Lineage: Eukaryota; Metazoa; Chordata; Mammalia; Primates; Cebidae
Description: microRNA cja-mir-1296 precursor
Rfam family: mir-1296 microRNA precursor family
Source: miRBase by way of RNAcentral